ACUUAGUGGUGAGGAUAUUUCUUUUGCAUAUCCUUAAACCAUUCUCAUGCCUCAUGUAUAUUGUCCUCUUCAUAUUACUGGAAACCAGUAGUGCCAUUCCGCAAUUU
Molecule: small nucleolar RNA, 107 nt
Organism: Gossypium raimondii (Peruvian cotton)
Lineage: Eukaryota; Viridiplantae; Streptophyta; Magnoliopsida; Malvales; Malvaceae
Rfam family: Plant small nucleolar RNA R71
About the family: R71 is a member of the C/D box family of snoRNAs containing the C (UGAUGA) and D (CUGA) box motifs. Multiple nearly identical copies of this snoRNA have been identified in Arabidopsis, and it is thought to function as a 2'-O-ribose methylation guide for 18S ribosomal RNA.
Source: Rfam